UAUACACAUAUACCUACCAUUGAAAACAGGUUUACAGCUUGCCUUAAAAUUCUAAUUCACAGCUUACUAAAUUGCUAAUGCCUUAUUAUGAAAGCUGUUGGCCUGUUCUGGAAAGCCAGCUGUUCUGAAAGGAGCAGUAAGUUAUAGGCUCUGCAACCAGCUGAGCGAUCAUCUUGAUUCAGUUGAGCGAAAGCCCUGUGACUGGCACUGGCCUCAUACUGCCACAGAGAGUCAUCAAGAGAAGCACGCUGAUCAGGGCAAUGGUCCAUGCACCACCAGGUCAAUCAAGGGUGUAAGACUAUCAGAUCAAGAUCAUGUCAUGGCCAUCAUCAUCUCCACACCUGAACCCAGCUGAAAACCUCUAGACUGCGAUCAAGAGGAAGAUGGAUAGUCACACACAUCAAACAAAAUUCAAGAAGGAUUUUGCACCAGAUCUACCGGGCCGCCUACCACUUGUGGUCCCCAUGCUUCCAUGCUCCUGGCUCCACAUCAGAUGAAGCGCUCAAGAUAAGUUUGCGUUUGCAUCUUGCUGACAAGGGGGUGGCUGUAACGCACAGAUGGCGCAACCUUCACCAUGUCAGCAUUGAGAUCACAGUCACAGCAAUGCCAUCAUGUGCAUGUUGGAAGCAUUUGAAUUUAAUUAAACACAUUUCCUCAUCUCUGCGCAAAGCUCCGGGUGGAAUGAUGUCUCUGCUGAGCAAGCAGAACUAUGCAGGGAAGCGUCCCAAUGUUUCUGUAUGGCUCAAUGCAAAUCAAAUUCUCCAAUAUUAAGCUGAACUGAGUCUAUUAACAGGGUAAUAUCCUGUUGAAUUUUUUCAUUAUGCCGCUUACAAUCAGAAAUGAAGCAAUGUGCACAAGCUAGAUGUGCUGCUUUGUAAGCUAAUGAGGACCCCAGAAUUUCUGUUUCCAAAAAAUACAUAUUGGGACAAAAGGACAAUAAUAAUCUGACUUUAGGCUAAAUUCAGAAGCAAAGAUUAAUUUUAAAUCUUUAAUUAGAGUUUAAUCUGAGCUUUUAGAGCUCCAACAGAAACAUUUUACAUGUUUCUUGUGGCAAAGGUUUAAAAUGUUAAAUUAUAGACAUGUAUUUCACAAAACAGUGCUAAAACACAAACAAGAGUGUUUGCUUGAAAAGCAUGCGGCACAAUAGAUGUCUGCAAGCAACCAGUCUACAGUACUUUCUCAAGUUUAUAUACAGUAUAUGAAUGUGAAUGCAUAAAAUACAUAUAGUGUUUAACAAAAUAAGAUUUGUAAUGUUUUUCCACUUUUAUUUCAUUGUUGCUAAAGAGAAUGUAUUUAAUAAUAUGCUUUAAGAUUAAUAAAAGAAAUAAUAAUAAUAGUGGUGGUUAGAUGAAUGCAAUAAUGAAUGAAGGCUUUUGGCUUUUUAUCAACCCAGACAUCAGUUUUGCAAUUUAAAAGACAUUUAAUUUGCUUUAAGAUCAAUUAAACUGAAUUAUCCCCACCUUCAUCUCUUUAAACCACAAGGACACCAGAUGUGUAACAUCAAAUAUGUAUUCCAAUAUCUUUUUGAGAAAUGGAUGUGGGGGUUGGACGAAACCCAAAAUGCCAAAAGAUUACUUACCUCCCUUGCUCAUCCUAUUGCUCUAUUCCAUUUGGCUAAUGUCACUCUAUGCGCUGGAGCACAGUGGACAAGGUAAUUACACCUGCCAUUAUGUGUCAGUGGGUUUGAUCUCCAGCGGGAUGGCAGGAGCGGAAUGGAGGUGGUGUAUGAGAAUAAUGAAGGCUUACCUACUGCUCAUCCCUUCCCAGACCUCUUUCCACACAGACAGGGAUUUACGGCUCAUUGAAUCAUGUUUUGGAGAGGGUGCAUUGAUAGCUUAAUCCUGCUUGGCCUUUACGUAGGGGUCACAUUAAGGUCUAUGUAGAUAGGGGAUGAAAAUGCAGGAAUGGAGAGAUGAGGGGAAAAAAAGGAUAAAGAGGACCAAAGUGUGACAUUGUGAUAAGUGCAAUUGCUGAGCUGUCACUGUGAGGAACAUGUCAUGGACAGG
Molecule: long non-coding RNA, 2006 nt
Organism: Silurus meridionalis
Lineage: Eukaryota; Metazoa; Chordata; Actinopteri; Siluriformes; Siluridae
Exons: 6
Source: RefSeq, a predicted model, not a curated record